AUUGAACGCUGGCGGCAGGCCUAACACAUGCAAGUCGGACGAGCGGCGGACGGGUGAGUAAUUUAUGGGGACCUGCCUGAUGGAGGGGGAUGACUACUGGAAACGGUAGCUAAUACCGCAUACCAUCAGAUGAACCCAUAUGGGUUUAGCUAGUGGGUGAGGUAACGGCUCACCUAGGCGACGAUCCCUAGCUGGUCUGAGAGGAUGAUCAGCCACACUGGGACUGAGACACGGCCCAGACUCCUACGGGAGGCAGCAGUGGGGAAUAUUGCACAAUGGGCGAAAGCCUGAUGCAGCCAUGCCGCGUGUAUGAAGAAGGCCUUCGGGUUGUAAAGUACUUUCAGUCGGGAGGCGUUACCGACAGAAGAAGCACCGGCUAACUCCGUGCCAGCAGCCGCGGUAAUUC
RNAcentral lists this ribosomal RNA (406 nucleotides) under uncultured bacterium. RNAcentral describes it as "partial 16S ribosomal RNA". It matches the Rfam family "Bacterial small subunit ribosomal RNA", at positions 30 to 526 of the family's 1533-position model. The record is from RNAcentral.